GCAACAAGUUCCUGUCGGGUUUGGGUUGUUUUGGAUUAUCGACUGAAAUUACGGCAAUUCAGAAGGAGACGUGCUCUAGUUUUGUCAAGCAAGCGAAGCUUCAAUCGUUUCUUAUUUUCUCUAAAGCGGUGGAGAAGAAGUGCAGUGGGAAUGCUAAUGUGAAGUAUGCUUGGUUUGGAGGUUCGAAAGAUGAGAUUAGCAACAUAUUUUCACAUGGAUUUUCUUGUCGAUCAAACAAUGGAGCUUAUUCUCAAGCCAUAUGCCUUUCUCCGGAUGAUAAUUCACACGAUUGCCUGCAAG
RNAcentral lists this unclassified non-coding RNA (300 nucleotides) under Hevea brasiliensis (rubber tree). Lineage: Eukaryota; Viridiplantae; Streptophyta; Magnoliopsida; Malpighiales; Euphorbiaceae. The record is from RNAcentral.